GCGUUGUUCGGAAUUACUGGGCGUAAAGGGCUCGUAGGCGGCCAACUAAGUCAGACGUGAAAUCCCUCGGCUUAACCGGGGAACUGCGUCUGAUACUGGAUGGCUUGAGUUCGGGAGAGGGAUGCGGAAUUCCAGGUGUAGCGGUGAAAUGCGCAGAUAUCGGGAGGAACACCAAUGGCGAAGGCAGCUCGCUGGGACGUGACUGACGCUGAGACGCGAAAGCGUGGGGAGCAAACAGG
Molecule: ribosomal RNA, 239 nt
Filed under: uncultured bacterium
Lineage: Bacteria
Description: partial 16S ribosomal RNA
Rfam family: Bacterial small subunit ribosomal RNA
Source: RNAcentral